RNAcentral lists this ribosomal RNA (874 nucleotides) under uncultured bacterium. RNAcentral describes it as "bacterial SSU rRNA". It matches the Rfam family "Bacterial small subunit ribosomal RNA", at positions 28 to 896 of the family's 1533-position model. The record is from RNAcentral.
GAUGAACGCUAGCGACAGGCCUAACACAUGCAAGUCGAGGGGCAGCACAAGGAUAGCAAUAUUCUGGUGGCGACCGGCGCACGGGUGAGUAACACGUAUGCAACCUACCUGUAAGAGGGGAAUAACCGGAGAAAUUCGGACUAACACCGCAUAAUACUGUUGAACUGCAUGGUUUAACAGUUAAAUAUUUAUAGCUUACAGAUGGGCAUGCGUAUGAUUAGAUAGUUGGUAGGGUAACGGCCUACCAAGUCAACGAUCAUUAGGGGUUCUGAGAGGAAGGUCCCCCACAUUGGAACUGAGACACGGUCCAAACUCCUACGGGAGGCAGCAGUGAGGAAUAUUGGUCAAUGGGCGAGAGCCUGAACCAGCCAAGUCGCGUGAAGGAAGAAGGUUCUAUGGAUUGUAAACUUCUUUUGUAAGGGAAUAAAAUGCGCUACGUGUAGUGUUUUGUAUGUACUUUACGAAUAAGGAUCGGCUAACUCCGUGCCAGCAGCCGCGGUAAUACGGAGGAUCCGAGCGUUAUCCGGAUUUAUUGGGUUUAAAGGGUGCGUAGGCGGACCCGUAAGUCAGUGGUGAAAGUUUGCAGCUUAACUGUAAAAUUGCCAUUGAAACUACGGAUCUUGAGUGUAAAUGAGGUAGGCGGAAUGUGUUGUGUAGCGGUGAAAUGCGUAGAUAUCAGGAGGAACACCGGUGGUGUAGACGGCUUUCUGGACCGUAACUGACGCUGAGACACGAAAGCGUGGGUAGCAAACAGGAUUAGAUACCCUGGUAGUCCACGCCCUAAACGAUGCAUAUUUGGUGUGGGUCAUUCAGUUGAUCUGUGCCGGAGCUAACGCGUUAAAUAUGCCGCCUGGGGAGUACAGUCGCAAGGCUG